RNAcentral lists this ribosomal RNA (445 nucleotides) under Sphingobacterium sp. LPA27-1. RNAcentral's name for it is "bacterial SSU rRNA". It matches the Rfam family "Bacterial small subunit ribosomal RNA", at positions 25 to 460 of the family's 1533-position model. Lineage: Bacteria; Pseudomonadati; Bacteroidota; Sphingobacteriia; Sphingobacteriales; Sphingobacteriaceae. The record is from RNAcentral.
CAGGAUGAACGCUAGCGGCAGGCCUAAUACAUGCAAGUCGGACGGGAUCCAUCGGAGAGCUUGCUCGAAGAUGGUGAGAGUGGCGCACGGGUGCGUAACGCGUGAGCAACCUACCUCUAUCAGGGGGAUAGCCUCUCGAAAGAGAGAUUAACACCGCAUAACAUCAACAGUUCGCAUGUUCGGUUGAUUAAAUAUUUAUAGGAUAGAGAUGGGCUCGCGUGACAUUAGCUAGUUGGUAGGGUAACGGCCUACCAAGGCGACGAUGUCUAGGGGCUCUGAGAGGAGAAUCCCCCACACUGGUACUGAGACACGGACCAGACUCCUACGGGAGGCAGCAGUAAGGAAUAUUGGUCAAUGGGCGGAAGCCUGAACCAGCCAUGCCGCGUGCAGGAUGACUGCCCUAAGGGUUGUAAACUGCUUUUGUCCAGGAAUAAACCUAAAUACG